CGAGACUGCCAGUGAGGAGGGGGUGAACGGAGCCAGGGAAGCCUCAUGCGGCUCCUGCUUUACGCACAUCGAGGAUGAAUGCAAGUCUGCCAGUCUGGAAUGAAAGUGAUGGAAAAGAGCGCUGGGUCAUACCAACCUGCUUAACAGCCUACACAAGGACAGUGUGUCCUGCUGUGGAGAGAGGCGUUCCCGUGCCAUCCGAGGAUGGGUGGAAAGGCUGCUGGACUUUGGUUCGAAUGAUCCUAAAAAAUUCAAAUGAACACAAUGACUUGCCGUGAACACAUCCAGGGCACGCUGGAUUACUUUCUGGAAAUGUCUUAUGCGGGUCGGCCCAUGAUCUCUCUUCAGCUCAUUAAAAUGUAAUGCUGCUGGCCAGCUCUAUGGAACAGUGCCUCCUAACCAAAGUUCAUUACUCCUGCUUGCAGGCUAGAUGGUGUCUGAUGUCCUUCUAAAAUUUCUCUUGGGUCCAUCCUGCAAAACAAAAUAAUAGGAGCAAAAUCAACAUGGGUGAGGAGAUGUGUCAGCUGCAAAUGUUUGAAGGACGUAUGUAGUUUCUCUUUCACUCCGGUUGGAAAAGUGAAAUAAUUAAGACAGAUGGGCAGAUGAAUUAGUUGUCUUCCAAGGUCAAACGCUGAUUGUCUUAUUACUCUAUUACUUCACUGUUGGGAAACUGUUACCGUUGACACUUUUUCAUGAUAUUCUUUACAUCCACAAAAGAGAAGGCCUGAGUGAAAGAGUGAGAGAGAUACAAAUUGAUUGUUUGGCGGCCAAAUCAGUCAUAGUCAUCUUGGGUGGAAGGAUUAAUGGGUCUGAUGGCUGUUGCAGGUUCAGGCAGGAGACGGGUUGAAAACAAGAGAAAUUGGUUUGGGCCCUCGGGAGCCGAAUCAAUGUUUCCUCGUGUCAUCCUGAAAGGGGCCCAAGGAGGUUAGCAGCUGUGACAAAAAUCAAAAUCCAUUUUCUGUGGCCAAAUGUAAUGAGGACCAAAUGGUGGAUGUUCC
Triplophysa dalaica is the source of this 998-nucleotide long non-coding RNA. RefSeq lists it as uncharacterized. Lineage: Eukaryota; Metazoa; Chordata; Actinopteri; Cypriniformes; Nemacheilidae. The record is from RefSeq and is a predicted model, not a curated record. The transcript is spliced from 6 exons.